GCAUGUUGUGUUUUGGGAUGCCCUUCCGGGGCUAAUAUGACGAUUCCGUUUCCGAAAAAUUUCUGACGAGAGAAGGGCGGCAUGGUCAUCAAAAAUUGGCGAUGAUAUAUUAAAAAAUACUGCAUCAGAAAAGCACACAGAAGCUUCCUAAUGGUUCGAGCAUGUUGUGUUUUGGGAUGCCCUUCCGGGGCUAAUAUGACGAUUCAAGUUUCCGAAAAAUUCUGACCAGAGAAGGACGGCAUGGUCAUCAAAAAUUGGCGAUGAUAUAUUAAAAAAUACUGCAUCAGAAAAGCACACAGGUUGUUGGAGUUUGGGUGGGUGGUACUUGCGAAAGCGUGGGUGCUUAUGCCCUCUCUAUUGUGUUCCUUUCUACCUUCUUUUCUAUGUAGACUCCCCGGUACCAUACCGGGUUUUCCUACGAAAUUUCGUUUUUCUUCAAUCUCGGCGGCUAGACUUGCGUACCUCUUAACGCAGAAACUCAGAAUGGUUCACAGAGGAGGCUGGCACAGACGGAAUUGCCAUAGGGCCACGUACAAGCAAUAUCCGGUCUUAGAAAUUUCACCUUCGGCGUGCUGUAUCUCGCAAACGGUUGGAUCUACGGCUUUCUCGAUGAAAUUUUUAAAGAUCUCUCUUAAUGCAGAGACUCAGAAUGGUCCAUAGAGGGAGGAGGCUGGCACAGAUAGAAUUGCCAUAG
This is a long non-coding RNA of Cephus cinctus (wheat stem sawfly), 694 nucleotides long. RefSeq lists it as uncharacterized. The record is from RefSeq and is a predicted model, not a curated record. The transcript has 3 exons. NCBI's taxonomy places the organism in Eukaryota, Metazoa, Arthropoda, Insecta, Hymenoptera, Cephidae.